CCUACGGGGGGCUGCAGUAGGGAAUAUUGCUCAAUGGGGGAAACCCUGAAGCAGCAACGCCGCGUGGAGGAUGAAGGUUUUCGGAUUGUAAACUCCUUUUGUUAGAGAAGAAAAUGACGAUAUCUAACGAAUAAGCACCGGCUAACUCCGUGCCAGCAGCCGCGGUAAUACGGAGGGUGCAAGCGUUAAUCGGAAUCACUGGGCGUAAAGAGCGCGUAGGCGGGAUAGCAAGUCAGAUGUGAAAUCCUAUGGCUUAACCAUAGAACUGCAUUUGAAACUGUUAUUCUAGAGUAUGGGAGAGGUAGGUGGAAUUCUUGGUGUAGGGGUAAAAUGCGUAGAGAUCAAGAGGAAUACUCAUUGCGAAGGCGACCUGCUAGAACAUAACUGACGCUGAUGCGCGAAAGCGUGGGGAGCAAACAGGAUUAGAUACCCUUGUAGUC
This 440-nucleotide ribosomal RNA is filed under the name uncultured bacterium. Its description in RNAcentral is "partial 16S ribosomal RNA". It matches the Rfam family "Bacterial small subunit ribosomal RNA", at positions 338 to 795 of the family's 1533-position model. The record is from RNAcentral.